Molecule: ribosomal RNA, 253 nt
Filed under: uncultured bacterium
Lineage: Bacteria
Also listed under: 1 other name
Description: partial 16S ribosomal RNA
Rfam family: Bacterial small subunit ribosomal RNA
Source: RNAcentral
UACGGAGGGUGCAAGCGUUAAUCGGAAUUACUGGGCGUAAAGCGCACGCAGGCGGUUUGUUAAGUCAGAUGUGAAAUCCCCGAGCUUAACUUGGGAACUGCAUUUGAAACUGGCAAGCUAGAGUCUUGUAGAGGGGGGUAGAAUUCCAGGUGUAGCGGUGAAAUGCGUAGAGAUCUGGAGGAAUACCGGUGGCGAAGGCGGCCCCCUGGACAAAGACUGACGCUCAGGUGCGAAAGCGUGGGGAGCAAACAGG